RNAcentral lists this ribosomal RNA (503 nucleotides) under uncultured bacterium. RNAcentral's name for it is "partial 16S ribosomal RNA". It matches the Rfam family "Bacterial small subunit ribosomal RNA", at positions 29 to 523 of the family's 1533-position model. The record is from RNAcentral.
AACGAACGCUGGCGGCACGUUUUAAGCAUGCAAGUCGAAUGGCAGCAGGGGCGACUCUGUGAGAAUGGCGAACGGGUGAGUAACACGUAGGUGAUCUGCCUUGAGGAUGGGGAUAGCCUGUGGAAACACAGGGUAAUACCGAAUAAGCUGACGGGACUUUGGUUUUGUUAGUAAAGGUGCUACGGCACCGCCUUGAGAGGAGCCUGCGGCUGAUUAGCUAGUUGGUGGGGUAAAGGCCUACCAAGGCGACGAUCAGUAGCCGGCCUGAGAGGGUGUACGGCCACACUGGGACUGAGACACGGCCCAGACUCCUACGGGAGGCAGCAGCUAAGAAUCUUCCGCAAUGGGCGAAAGCCUGACGGAGCGAUGCCGCGUGAUCGAUGAAGGUCGAGAGAUUGUAAAGAUCUUUUCUACAUGAGGAAUGAGUCUGGGAGGGAAUGCCUGGAUGAUGACGUUAGUGUAGGAAUAAGCCCCGGCUAAUUACGUGCCAGCCGCCGCCGUAA